This 1072-nucleotide ribosomal RNA is filed under the name Vibrio sp. 8116M. RNAcentral describes it as "bacterial SSU rRNA". It matches the Rfam family "Bacterial small subunit ribosomal RNA", at positions 385 to 1449 of the family's 1533-position model. The record is from RNAcentral. Lineage: Bacteria; Pseudomonadati; Pseudomonadota; Gammaproteobacteria; Vibrionales; Vibrionaceae.
GAUGCGCCAUGCCGCGUGUAUGAAGAAGGCCUUCGGGUUGUAAAGUACUUUCAGCUGUGAGGAAGGGGGUGAUGUUAAUAGCGCUAUCUUUUGACGUUAGCUGCAGAAGAAGCACCGGCUAACUCCGUGCCAGCAGCCGCGGUAAUACGGAGGGUGCGAGCGUUAAUCGGAAUUACUGGGCGUAAAGCGCAUGCAGGUGGUUUGUUAAGUCAGAUGUGAAAGCCCGGGGCUCAACCUCGGAACUGCAUUUGAAACUGGCGAACUAGAGUAUUGUAGAGGGGGGUAGAAUUUCAGGUGUAGCGGUGAAAUGCGUAGAGAUCUGAAGGAAUACCGGUGGCGAAGGCGGCCCCCUGGACAGAUACUGACACUCAGAUGCGAAAGCGUGGGGAGCAAACAGGAUUAGAUACCCUGGUAGUCCACGCCGUAAACGAUGUCUACUUGGAGGUUGGGGUCUUGAGCCGUGGCUUUCGGAGCUAACGCGUUAAGUAGACCGCCUGGGGAGUACGGUCGCAAGAUUAAAACUCAAAUGAAUUGACGGGGGCCCGCACAAGCGGUGGAGCAUGUGGUUUAAUUCGAUGCAACGCGAAGAACCUUACCUACUCUUGACAUCCAGAGAAUUCAGUAGAGACACAUUAGUGCCUUCGGGAACUCUGAGACAGGUGCUGCAUGGCUGUCGUCAGCUCGUGUUGUGAAAUGUUGGGUUAAGUCCCGCAACGAGCGCAACCCUUAUCCUUGUUUGCCAGCGCGUAAUGUCGGGAACUCCAGGGAGACUGCCGGUGAUAAACCGGAGGAAGGUGGGGACGACGUCAAGUCAUCAUGGCCCUUACGAGUAGGGCUACACACGUGCUACAAUGGCGCAUACAGAGGGCAGCGAACCAGCGAUAGUGAGCGAAUCCCACAAAGUGCGUCGUAGUCCGGAUUGGAGUCUGCAACUCGACUCCAUGAAGUCGGAAUCGCUAGUAAUCGUAGAUCAGAAUGCUACGGUGAAUACGUUCCCGGGCCUUGUACACCCCGCCCGUCACACCAUGGGAGUGGGCUGCAAAAGAAGUGGAUAGCUUAACCUUUCGGGGGA